GAUGAACGCUAGCUACAGGCUUAACACAUGCAAGUCGAGGGGAAACGACAUCGAAAGCUUGCUUUUGAUGGGCGUCGACCGGCGCACGGGUGAGUAACGCGUAUCCAACCUGCCCACCACUUGGGGAUAACCUUGCGAAAGUAAGACUAAUACCCAAUGAUAUCCCACGAAGGCAUCCGAAUGGGAUUAAAGAUUUAUCGGUGAUGGAUGGGGAUGCGUCUGAUUAGCUUGUUGGCGGGGUAACGGCCCACCAAGGCAACGAUCAGUAGGGGUUCUGAGAGGAAGGUCCCCCCACAUUGGAACUGAGACACGGCCCAGACUCCUACGGGAGGCAGCAGUAGGGAAUAUUGCACAAUGGAGGAAACUCUGAUGCAGCCAUGCCGCGUGUGUGAAGAAGGGCCCUUCGGGGUUGUUAAAAGGCACUUUCGAGGGNGGAAAGAUGACGUUACCUCAGAAGAAGCACCGGCUAACUCCGUGCCAGCAGCCG
This 487-nucleotide ribosomal RNA is filed under the name uncultured bacterium. Its description in RNAcentral is "bacterial SSU rRNA". It matches the Rfam family "Bacterial small subunit ribosomal RNA", at positions 28 to 517 of the family's 1533-position model. The record is from RNAcentral.